Molecule: transfer RNA, 76 nt
Filed under: Rubellimicrobium thermophilum DSM 16684
Lineage: Bacteria; Pseudomonadati; Pseudomonadota; Alphaproteobacteria; Rhodobacterales; Roseobacteraceae
Also listed under: 1 other name
Description: tRNA-Ala
Rfam family: tRNA
About the family: Transfer RNA (tRNA) molecules are approximately 80 nucleotides in length. Their secondary structure includes four short double-helical elements and three loops (D, anti-codon, and T loops).
Source: RNAcentral
GGGGCCUUAGCUCAGCUGGGAGAGCACCUGCUUUGCAAGCAGGGGGUCGGGGGUUCGAUCCCCCCAGGCUCCACCA